RNAcentral lists this ribosomal RNA (512 nucleotides) under uncultured bacterium. RNAcentral's name for it is "bacterial SSU rRNA". It matches the Rfam family "Bacterial small subunit ribosomal RNA", at positions 955 to 1466 of the family's 1533-position model. The record is from RNAcentral.
AGCAACGCGAAGAACCUUACCAGGUCUUGACAUCCUUUGACCACCCUAGAGAUAGGGCUUUCCCCUUCGGGGGACAAAGUGACAGGUGGUGCAUGGUUGUCGUCAGCUCGUGUCGUGAGAUGUUGGGUUAAGUCCCGCAACGAGCGCAACCCUUGACCUUAGUUGCCAGCAUUUAGUUGGGCACUCUAAGGUGACUGCCGGUGACAAACCGGAGGAAGGUGGGGAUGACGUCAAAUCAUCAUGCCCCUUAUGACCUGGGCUACACACGUGCUACAAUGGAUGGUACAAAGGGAAGCAAAACCGCGAGGUCGAGCCAAUCCCAUAAAGCCAUUCUCAGUUCGGAUUGUAGGCUGCAACUCGCCUGCAUGAAGCCGGAAUUGCUAGUAAUCGCGGAUCAGCAUGCCGCGGUGAAUACGUUCCCGGGCCUUGUACACACCGCCCGUCACACCACGAGAGUUUGUAACACCCGAAGUCGGUGGGGUAACCUUUUGGAGCCAGCCGCCUAAGGUGGG